Non-coding RNA from Sus scrofa (pig), 1370 nucleotides. NCBI's taxonomy places the organism in Eukaryota, Metazoa, Chordata, Mammalia, Artiodactyla, Suidae. The record is from RefSeq and is a predicted model, not a curated record.
CCAAAAAUGCACUCAUCCCCCAAGGACCCCAGGCCAGCACAAAGGGCCAGUUCUUUCUCGGGCUGCUCUGGGUGGCCUCCUUCUUGCCCACUGCCUUUGACUCGUGGCCUCAUUCACAGGACUGGGAGGGCUAGCUGAGGAUUUUCCCAUGUGGUUGGGUGGGAGGCAGGCUGGGAGGGCAUGAGUUGGCCGAAGGAGGGUGGAGCUGAGCCUUUAGAAUCUUCCCCAAGUUUGACUUAUCCUGGUGGUGCGGGGGAUGCGAACAGCUUACUUAAGAUCUUAAAACCUAAAGAAUACUAUCCGAUUGGCAGGGAAGAUUCGGAUUAGACUUCAGGAAGACUGUGCAGACAGGACAGUCACCAUGUAGAAUGUUUGGUCCUGAGGACAGACAGAGUCGGCGUUCUUCCUGGGUCUAAUAGGAGCCUGAGAAACAGUGAUGCCAAAGACCUCAAGCAGCACCUGUGAUGGGAAAAGAUGACGGUGCUGGUCAGAAUGGCUCCUGUCCAGACCCAACUUGCUCAUACUCAGCUCUAUGAUGAGAAGCAGGACUUCUUGUCCCAAGCCGUAACAGGGGGUAGGAACCAUCUCAGGAUAAGGAAGUGCUCCGUCUGCCUUGUCCCACUUCUGUGACUGCAGAGUAUCUGACUAGAUGACCAAUUGGCUGGCUGGCGGAUGGAUGGAUGGGUGAAAUCCAUGUAGGAGAGCAGGAAAGCUCCCCCAGAAGAACUGGCAUGAAGAAGAAGAUGGUUAUGCUUCGGAACCUUUAAGAGUCCCGGGUCUGGAAUCAAUGAGCUGAGAAUUAUCUUUCAGGCCUUCUUUUCCUUCCUUCCAGCGAUUAACUCAACUCUAUCUAAACUUCCCCCAGCCCAAUUUUCUGCCUGGGCUGAAUGGCUGCUCACCCAGCAGUCCCUGCCGCUGCUUCUUUUCCGCUCUCUCUCCCAGCCCGCUGCCUCUCCAAUCCUCUUCCCCACCACACCCUUGGAUUUACGUAACUGAGUAAUUGUGUGAUGCUAUAAAACUAAUUUGCACUUCUGCUUGGGCGGGGAAGUGACCAGAGCUUUGCAGUGCCUUAAAAGGCAGAGGAAAGGAGCCCACCCCAACCCCAGGUCCCCCUCAGACUCAAAGACCUAGUGGCCAGCCCCAUCUGCAAGGGCCCAGCACCAGCAGCUGUACCAUAAACCAGGCCAAACACCAGUCACAGGAAGAAAUUAAAAGAAACAUUCUCCCGCUGCUGCAAAGACAAACCCCCUAUCGCAUUCUCCCCAUCUCCAGAUAGAGGCCACUGGUUCAGUCUCCCUUUCAACUGUCUAGGGCUCUGUUAGCACCUGUUUUCCUUGUCACAGAUUGGGAAGUAGUUCUCUUCCUGCCAA